UUUAUGGAGAGUUUGAUCCUGGCUCAGGAUGAACGCUGGCGGCGUGCCUAAUACAUGCAAGUCGAGCGAACGGACGAGAAGCUUGCUUCUCUGAUGUUAGCGGCGGACGGGUGAGUAACACGUGGAUAACCUACCUAUAAGACUGGGAUAACUUCGGGAAACCGGAGCUAAUACCGGAUAAUAUUUUGAACCGCAUGGUUCAAAAGUGAAAGACGGUCUUGCUGUCACUUAUAGAUGGAUCCGCGCUGCAUUAGCUAGUUGGUAAGGUAACGGCUUACCAAGGCAACGAUGCAUAGCCGACCUGAGAGGGUGAUCGGCCACACUGGAACUGAGACACGGUCCAGACUCCUACGGGAGGCAGCAGUAGGGAAUCUUCCGCAAUGGGCGAAAGCCUGACGGAGCAACGCCGCGUGAGUGAUGAAGGUCUUCGGAUCGUAAAACUCUGUUAUUAGGGAAGAACAUAUGUGUAAGUAACUGUGCACAUCUUGACGGUACCUAAUCAGAAAGCCACGGCUAACUACGUGCCAGCAGCCGCGGUAAUACGUAGGUGGCAAGCGUUAUCCGGAAUUAUUGGGCGUAAAGCGCGCGUAGGCGGUUUUUUAAGUCUGAUGUGAAAGCCCACGGCUCAACCGUGGAGGGUCAUUGGAAACUGGAAAACUUGAGUGCAGAAGAGGAAAGUGGAAUUCCAUGUGUAGCGGUGAAAUGCGCAGAGAUAUGGAGGAACACCAGUGGCGAAGGCGACUUUCUGGUCUGUAACUGACGCUGAUGUGCGAAAGCGUGGGGAUCAAACAGGAUUAGAUACCCUGGUAGUCCACGCCGUAAACGAUGAGUGCUAAGUGUUAGGGGGUUUCCGCCCCUUAGUGCUGCAGCUAACGCAUUAAGCACUCCGCCUGGGGAGUACGACCGCAAGGUUGAAACUCAAAGGAAUUGACGGGGACCCGCACAAGCGGUGGAGCAUGUGGUUUAAUUCGAAGCAACGCGAAGAACCUUACCAAAUCUUGACAUCCUUUGACAACUCUAGAGAUAGAGCUUUCCCCUUCGGGGGACAAAGUGACAGGUGGUGCAUGGUUGUCGUCAGCUCGUGUCGUGAGAUGUUGGGUUAAGUCCCGCAACGAGCGCAACCCUUAAGCUUAGUUGCCAUCAUUAAGUUGGGCACUCUAAGUUGACUGCCGGUGACAAACCGGAGGAAGGUGGGGAUGACGUCAAAUCAUCAUGCCCCUUAUGAUUUGGGCUACACACGUGCUACAAUGGACAAUACAAAGGGCAGCGAAACCGCGAGGUCA
Molecule: ribosomal RNA, 1283 nt
Filed under: Staphylococcus aureus
Lineage: Bacteria; Bacillati; Bacillota; Bacilli; Caryophanales; Staphylococcaceae
Description: bacterial SSU rRNA
Rfam family: Bacterial small subunit ribosomal RNA
Source: RNAcentral